AACAAGGCGUACCUGCGGACCUGCGGAGGGAUCAUUAUCGAGUGCGAACCCCCCCGUAAAAAAGGGGGGUUACCUCCCGUCCUUUGUUGGGCACCCCUUUCAAUUGGAAGGGGUUGUCUUUCAUACCCUCUGCUUCGGCGGGGUGACCUGCCGGAACAACCUCAAAAAAUUCUCAGUCAAAACUGUUCAGUCCGAGAACUUUUGAAAAGCGAAAAAAACUUUCAACAACGGAUCUCAGAU
Molecule: unclassified non-coding RNA, 240 nt
Filed under: soil metagenome
Description: partial contains 5.8S ribosomal RNA, internal transcribed spacer 2, and large subunit ribosomal RNA
Source: RNAcentral